Molecule: ribosomal RNA, 720 nt
Filed under: Arthrobacter woluwensis
Lineage: Bacteria; Bacillati; Actinomycetota; Actinomycetes; Micrococcales; Micrococcaceae
Description: bacterial SSU rRNA
Rfam family: Bacterial small subunit ribosomal RNA
Source: RNAcentral
AUGCAAGUCGAACGAUGAUGCCCAGCUUGCUGGGUGGAUUAGUGGCGAACGGGUGAGUAACACGUGAGUAACCUGCCCUUGACUCUGGGAUAAGCCUGGGAAACUGGGUCUAAUACCGGAUACGACCAUUGCCCGCAUGGGUUGGUGGUGGAAAGCUUUUGUGGUUUUGGAUGGACUCGCGGCCUAUCAGCUUGUUGGUGAGGUAAUGGCUCACCAAGGCGACGACGGGUAGCCGGCCUGAGAGGGUGACCGGCCACACUGGGACUGAGACACGGCCCAGACUCCUACGGGAGGCAGCAGUGGGGAAUAUUGCACAAUGGGCGAAAGCCUGAUGCAGCGACGCCGCGUGAGGGAUGACGGCCUUCGGGUUGUAAACCUCUUUCAGUAGGGAAGAAGCGAAAGUGACGGUACCUGCAGAAGAAGCGCCGGCUAACUACGUGCCAGCAGCCGCGGUAAUACGUAGGGCGCAAGCGUUAUCCGGAAUUAUUGGGCGUAAAGAGCUCGUAGGCGGUUUGUCGCGUCUGCUGUGAAAGGCCAGGGCUCAACCCUGGUUCUGCAGUGGGUACGGGCAGACUUGAGUGAUGUAGGGGAGACUGGAAUUCCUGGUGUAGCGGUGAAAUGCGCAGAUAUCAGGAGGAACACCGAUGGCGAAGGCAGGUCUCUGGGCAUUAACUGACGCUGAGGAGCGAAAGCAUGGGGACGAACAGGAUWAGAUACCCU